RNA transcript from Cynocephalus volans (Philippine flying lemur), 2268 nucleotides. It is a transcript of the gene named adaptor related protein complex 1 subunit sigma 2, with no coding region annotated. The record is from RefSeq and is a predicted model, not a curated record. The transcript has 8 exons. NCBI's taxonomy places the organism in Eukaryota, Metazoa, Chordata, Mammalia, Dermoptera, Cynocephalidae.
GCGGGGUCUGCCGGCUCGCCCUCCCCUCGCCGACUAAGCCUGCCCUCCGACAACCGGGUCCCAUCCCCACAGCAAGACGGCUUCUCUUCCCCAGCACGGCGACGGGGGCUUCCCCUCAGCCGCCGCCGCUGCCGUCGCCGCCCGAGACCUGCCGCACUCGCGGCCGUCGGCCGCCAUGCAGUUUAUGUUGCUUUUUAGUCGUCAAGGAAAGCUUCGACUGCAGAAAUGGUAUGUCCCACUAUCAGACAAAGAGAAGAAAAAGAUCACAAGAGAACUUGUUCAAACCGUUUUAGCACGGAAACCUAAAAUGUGCAGCUUCCUUGAGUGGCGAGAUCUGAAGAUUGUUUACAAAAGAUAUGCUAGUCUGUAUUUUUGCUGUGCUAUUGAAGAUCAGGACAAUGAGCUAAUUACCCUGGAAAUAAUUCAUCGUUACGUGGAAUUACUUGACAAGUAUUUUGGCAGUGUGUGUGAACUUGAUAUCAUCUUUAAUUUUGAGAAGGCGUAUUUUAUUUUAGAUGAGUUUCUUUUGGGAGGGGAAGUUCAGGAAACAUCUAAGAAAAAUGUCCUUAAAGCAAUUGAGCAGGCUGAUCUACUGCAGGAGAGCCAGAAUGAAGAAUGGGGAGGUUUGUCUGAGGAUAUCUUAUGAUAAAGAGCAGUCUAAGGCUUUAGUCCCUUUGACCCCCAACUUAUUUAUUGUGCUGAUCUAGACCUACUAAAUUGAUUUCAUCAGACCUAGGAUUGGGACCUGCACAGGGACCUGCAAAGAGCAUAUUCCAAGGUUUUGGUGGCAAUUUAUUUCAUUAAAAAAUACUUCCUGAAAAAUUUCAGAGCAUUCUUUCUGUAUGUGGCCUCCACUGAUGCCAUUGGUUGCCCUGGGGGAAGUUGGCUGUUUAUGAAGCCUUGCUGCUACGGACACAGCUAAGUAAAACCUCGAGGAGGAAGACAUUUCCGUAUAUAUGUGACAAAAAAGAACAUGGAAAACAAAAUUAGGAAGCUGAAACCCCACGUAGUGUUCUUGAAGAAAUUGGACUGACAUAACUCUCCUCCCUUGUUGAUGACUUCUUGUGGCAUUUCACACACUGUAGAUGGUCACUGCCUUCAUGUCCAUGUUAGCUAAUGGUGUAAGAAAUGUCUUGUCAGUAUUACUGUUUUGCUAAGCUGCUUAACACAGGCCUACACAAUUUUUUUUAAAAAGGGAACUUUGGGUUAAUCAAAUGAUAAAUUAAGGGACUUAAAUAUGAAUUAGAAUGAUGCAGAAAGAUACUUUUUCUGGAGAUUUUAAAGUUUAUAGGUCAGUUUCUUUUAAUCUGAUUAUGUGCAUAUAUGAAAAUGACAUCUAUAUAGAUGUAAAAUCAAAUAAUCAGGCAAUAUACAUUUAUUACUGUAUUUGACAAAGGAGACUUAAAUUAUAAUGUGAAACCUGGUUUUAUGAAACCAAGCACUAGUGCAGCAUUUCAGUAUAUAUAAUAAAGGGAAUUGACAUGUCACAUAUCGAGUGAAAAUUUAACUCUGUUAAAACUUAACAAAUUUUUACCAAAGAUCUGUACUGGAAACUACAUAUCUUAAAGCAAAGGGAAUAAAUAACUAAAUUGGAAUAAUGCUGUUUUACACUAAAAUUUAUUUCUUAGGCAUUCAAACCUGGGAUGACAAACAUUGUUUCAUAAUGGUGAGCAAAUAAUUUUUAAGGCCAAGGCACAUUUGAUUCCUGAGAUGAAUUUUUUGUGGUCAUAAUCAUUUAGUUGGUUUCCUUUUGGUGCCCCCAAAUAAAGUGGGUAUGUUAUUUUACCAGGAAUUCUUCAUAAUAGUAUCUUACAGAAAAUGUGUUACUCUCUUCACAGAGUGUGGCGUGUAAAGUCACUGUUAAAGCACUAACAUUCCUUCUGGGUGCUUGUUAAAGCCAAAUUUAUUUUGCUUCCCUCUUCUUAGAAGUGCUGCAAACUUUACAACAGCUUCCUUUCCUUCCAUGGCAUUGCCUAGUUAUCAGAAGUCUUAUAUAAAUUUUAAAAAGACACCUUUCAUAUAAAAAAGUGAGUUAAGUGAGAGAAAAUGGCAUUAGUUGGCCCUAUAUUUUUUAAAGCUAUAGAAUUGUUCAGCAUCACUUUUAUACGUACUUAUACGUAUCUAAAUAUGUGUUCAUGUUUUACAUUUUCACUUGUAUAUGCUGGGCUGGAUUAAGCUUUGUUGUGAUUGUGACCAAUGUUGAGGCUACGUGAGCACUGUCUUAUCACAUCGCCAAUUAGUUAUAAUAAACGUUCAACGUACAAACAC